GCUGGGCGUGGUGGUGAGCGCCUGUAAUCCCAGCUACUCGGGAGGCUGAGGCAGGAGAAUCACUUGAACCCGGGAGGCAGAGGUUGCAGUGAGCCGAGAUUGUGCCACUGCACUCCAUCCUGGGCGACAGAGUGAGAUUCUGUCUCAA
Molecule: non-coding RNA, 148 nt
Filed under: Nomascus leucogenys (northern white-cheeked gibbon)
Lineage: Eukaryota; Metazoa; Chordata; Mammalia; Primates; Hylobatidae
Source: Rfam by way of RNAcentral